This 457-nucleotide long non-coding RNA is filed under the name Bos taurus (domestic cattle). Its description in RNAcentral is "long non-coding RNA NONBTAT026126". Lineage: Eukaryota; Metazoa; Chordata; Mammalia; Artiodactyla; Bovidae. The record is from RNAcentral.
GUGACCUUAUUUUAGAAAGCACGAUGUCUCAGGACUUCAAAGGGUUUCCAUCAAUAUUCAAGCAUGAUUCUUCCAGGAUAUAACAGAAUUAAGAAGGUGAGGAGACACAGUGAAUCACUGGGCUGACUCAUCUAUUGACUUCAAGCAAAAGUUGGAAAUUGUACUUUAAUGCAAUAUAGGUGAGGCAAUUUGCUCAGUGGCCAAAGGGUGAAUCUCAAACCCAAUCAUGAACUUCAGCAGAAGAAGGGCCAGCACUGUGCCCCCUGCCCCUCUGACCCGAGCCGGUCUGGGUCCCUGGGUGAGCAAUGGUGCCCUUCCUGAGCCUUGACUCAGGGCUCUUGGAGUCAGACCCGGCCGUCUGGGUCGGGGCCCAGAGCUAGCCACCACCUCCUUGCAAAUGAGAUUCAGGAAAAAUCGUGCCUUUCGUUAGAGAUCGCUUUUGAACCAGCCUGAGCUG